This 256-nucleotide long non-coding RNA is filed under the name Mustela putorius furo (domestic ferret). RNAcentral describes it as "lncRNA (ENSMPUG00000031816.1)". The record is from RNAcentral. Lineage: Eukaryota; Metazoa; Chordata; Mammalia; Carnivora; Mustelidae.
GAUCCUCCUCUUCAGCUGCAUCUUGGAUAAGUGCUUCACACAGAAACCAAACAUGACUCAGCUCUCUUCGAAAUCCGGGGCACAGUAGCUCCUCCGGCUACCUCCAUAAAAGGUGGCCUUACCAAAACCUCUGGAAUACUUGAGCCUGUGGCCAUCAGUGGCUAUCGGAAGAAUUUUGAACGAUAUUCCCUACUUUUUUAAAAUGCAUGCCCUUGGGUCUCAUCUGCCAUCUCAAGCAAUUUAUCUGAGUAUUCCC